RNAcentral lists this ribosomal RNA (468 nucleotides) under uncultured bacterium. RNAcentral describes it as "partial 16S ribosomal RNA". It matches the Rfam family "Bacterial small subunit ribosomal RNA", at positions 28 to 507 of the family's 1533-position model. The record is from RNAcentral.
GACGAACGCUGGCGGCGUGCUUAACACAUGCAAGUCGAACGGAAAGGCCCUGCUUUUGUGGGGUGCUCGAGUGGCGAACGGGUGAGUAACACGUGAGUAACCUGCCCUUGACUUUGGGAUAACUUCAGGAAACUGGGGCUAAUACCGGAUAGGAGCUCCUGCUGCAUGGUGGGGGUUGGAAAGCUUCGGCGGUUGGGGAUGGACUCGCGGCUUAUCAGCUUGUUGGUGGGGUAGUGGCUUACCAAGGCUUUGACGGGUAGCCGGCCUGAGAGGGUGACCGGCCACAUUGGGACUGAGAUACGGCCCAGACUCCUACGGGAGGCAACAGUGGGGAGUAUUGCACAAUGGUCGGAAGCCUGAUACAGCAACGCCGCGUGCGGGAUAACGGCCUUCGGGUUGUAAACCGCUUUCGCCUGUGACGAAGCGUGAGUGACGGUAAUGGGUAAAGAAGCACCGGCUAACUACGUG